RNAcentral lists this ribosomal RNA (907 nucleotides) under Murispora cicognanii. Its description in RNAcentral is "eukaryotic LSU rRNA". It matches the Rfam family "Eukaryotic large subunit ribosomal RNA", at positions 38 to 961 of the family's 3401-position model. Lineage: Eukaryota; Fungi; Ascomycota; Dothideomycetes; Pleosporales; Amniculicolaceae. The record is from RNAcentral.
GCAUAUCAAUAAGCGGAGGAAAAGAAACCAACAGGGAUUGCCCUAGUAACGGCGAGUGAAGCGGCAACAGCUCAAAUUUGAAAUCUGGCUCUUUUAAGGGUCCGAGUUGUAAUUUGUAGAGGGUGCUUUGGUGUUAGCUGUGGUCUAAGUCCCUUGGAACAGGGCGUCACAGAGGGUGAGAAUCCCGUAUGUGGCCAGCAGCUUCCGCCUUGUAAAGCCCCUUCGACGAGUCGAGUUGUUUGGGAAUGCAGCUCUAAAUGGGAGGUAAAUUUCUUCUAAAGCUAAAUAUUGGCCAGAGACCGAUAGCGCACAAGUAGAGUGAUCGAAAGAUGAAAAGCACUUUGGAAAGAGAGUCAAAAAGCACGUGAAAUUGUUGAAAGGGAAGCGUUUGCAGCCAGACUUGCCCGUAGUUGCUCAGCCAGACCUCGUGUCUGGUGCACUCUUCUGCGGGCAGGCCAGCAUCAGUUCAGGCGGUCGGAUAAAGGCUUUGGGAAUGUGGCUCCUCUCGGGGAGUGUUAUAGCCCAGAGCGUCAUGCGGCCAGCUUGGACUGAGGUCCGCGCUUUUGCUAGGAUGCUGGCGUAAUGGCUGUAAGCGGCCCGUCUUGAAACACGGACCAAGGAGUCUAACAUCUAUGCGAGUGUUUGGGUGUCAAGCCCGAGCGCGUAAUGAAAGUGAACGGAGGUGGGAACCCUUUGGGGUGCACCAUCGACCGAUCCUGAUGUCUUCGGAUGGAUUUGAGUAAGAGCAUAGCUGUUGGGACCCGAAAGAUGGUGAACUAUGCCUGAAUAGGGUGAAGCCAGAGGAAACUCUGGUGGAGGCUCGCAGCGGUUCUGACGUGCAAAUCGAUCGUCAAAUUUGGGCAUAGGGGCGAAAGACUAAUCGAACCAUCUAGUAGCUGGUUCCUGC